RNAcentral lists this ribosomal RNA (1758 nucleotides) under wastewater metagenome. Its description in RNAcentral is "bacterial LSU rRNA". The stretch from base 1 to 1451 matches the Rfam family "Bacterial large subunit ribosomal RNA", at positions 689 to 2044 of the family's 2925-position model. The record is from RNAcentral.
UAUCCCAAAUGUACUGUGAAGUAGACCCGAAACCGGGUGACCUAACCAUGGCCAGGCUGAAGCGUCGGUAAAACGGCGUGGAGGGCCGCACCAGGGUCAGCUGCAAAUGGCUUGGAUGAGCUGUGGUUAGCGGAGAAAUUCCAAUCGAACCCGGAGAUAGCUGGUUCUCCUCGAAAUAGCUUUAGGGCUAGCGUCAUGAACUACUCCUCGGAGGUAGAGCACUGAAUGGGUUGCGGGCCUUUUUAAGGUACCGCGCUCAACCAAACUCCGAAUGCCGAGGAAGACUACCAUGGCAGUUAGAACGCGGGAGCUAAGUUCCGCGCUCGCAAGGGAAACAGCCCAGACCGUCAGCUAAGGUCCCAAAGUCAUAGCUCAGUGGGAAACGAGGUGAGAUUGCAUAGACAACCAGGAUGUUGGCUUAGAAGCAGCCAUUCAUUUAAAGAGUGCGUAACAGCUCACUGGUCAAUUGUGAUCUUGCGCGGAAAAUAUAACGGGGCUCAAGCUAUGCACCGAAGCUACGGGUUGGCACGUUUACGUGUCAGCGGUAGAGGAGCGUUGAUAGGGCACUGAAGUCGAGCCGUGAGGCUUGGUGGAGCGCUAUCAAGUGAGAAUGCUGGAAUAAGUAACCAUAAGGCAGGUGAGAAUCCUGCCCACCGAAAGAGCAAGGUUUCCUGGGCAACGGUUAUCGUCCCAGGGUUAGUCGGGCCUAAGCCGAGGCGAGUAGCGUAGGCGAUGGACAACAGGUUGAUAUUCCUGUACCGGUGUACAUGUUCCUGAUUACGACGCAGGAUGGAAACGCGAGCGGUUUGCUGGCCAUAUCCGUCUAAGUAGGUAGUUCCGCCAAUUGGCGGAGUGAGACACGAAUGAAACGGACCGUAAGGUCUGAAUUCGCGCGGGCCAAACUGACCAGAAAAGUAAUCAAUUAAUAGUGUGCGCCGCCCGUACCGCAAACCAACACAGGUGCUCAGGUCGAGUAGACCAAGGUGCUCGGGAGAACCCUCGUUAAGGAACUCGGCAAUAUAGCGACCGUAACUUCGGGAUAAGGUCUGCCUCUGCGUUCCACCUAGUGUGGAAGGUAUAAGUAUUGAGUAGAAGUUCUAAGUUUGAAGAAUCUUUUAAAAAAAUCUUCAAUUCUUGAGUAGCUUUAAGCUUAAACGCUUUACACAUUGUGUGGAGCGCGGAGGCCGCAGCGAAAGAGCCCAUGCGACUGUUUAUCAAAAACACAGGUCCGUGCUAACUCGAAAGAGGAUGUAUACGGGCUGACUCCUGCCCGGUGCCGGAAGGUUAAAGGGCGGUGUUCACGCACCAAACUGAAGCCCCGGUGAACGGCGGCCCUAACUAUAAGGGUCCUAAGGUAGCGAAAUUCCUUGUCAGGUAGAGAACUGCCUGAUGUACGUGGUGACAUGUACAAGUGCAAUCUGGCUCAUAACGGUGAAGUCUCAGCAUGUAUGUAUUUUGUUCGUAAAACAAGAUAUAAUAUGAUGGAGGUAAUACCGUGGCAACCCUCUUUUUUAAAGAGGGAGCCGUAACGACUGAUCCGAAAGGAGAGGCUCCGCGACAAACGGGGCAACACGCCAGCUCUUGUUUAAACAGAUCGAUAUCGAUUUAGCUAGUUAUAUCACUGGUUUUGUCGAUGGUGAAGGCUGUUUUUCAGUUUCCUUCACUUAUCGUCCAAAACUGACCCUACCAGUAGAGGUUCGUCCUAGCUUUGCGGUAGCUCAAAAUGAGCGAUCGCGAGCAGUUCUGGAACAACUUCAA